AGUAAAAAUUUUUAAAAUGUCUGUAAUAACUGUAGAUAGAAAUUAGUAUCUGAUAAUAUUUCGUGAAUGUUAUAAAAGAAUAAACUCUUUUACAAUUAUAUUUUCAAAGUGGCAUUCGUAUAAUACAAAUGAUUUUUAAAUAUUAAUAAGAUUUUAUAAAUCUUAAAAAUAAUAAUAAAUCUUAAAUCUUAAAGAUUAUGUAUCUAUUAAGAAACAAAUUAUACAUUGACAAGUUAUGAUAACGGUGUUUAUAAAUGAUAAAAAUAAUAUGAAGUAUUGCUAUGUUUUUAAUAAUAUUUAAUUACCGUAAAGAUAACAUUAUUAAAAACGAAAAUCCUAAAUAUUAUAAAUAAAAAUACAUGAAAAUGUGUGAUCUUAUAGAUUUAAAUAGCCCUGACAUAAAGGGUUCAUUAAGUUCAAGACUUGCAUCACCUCUAAUACCAGUUCCUACAGAUAUAUGCAAGAAUUUUAAUACUCGAAAAAAUGAACCAAAUUCUCCAAUAAUAGGAAAACGUGAUAGUUUAGAAAAUAAUCCUUUUGAUAUGGUAUUACAUAAAACUACAGAAUAUAUUCAAAAAAAAGAUGACCCUUUUGAAAUGACUUUAGAGAAAGCAAUGAAAUUAAAAUGCAAACAGAAGACUUCAUUAAGAUCAUUUUCUUUAGAUUUACCAGAUAAUUCAACUGUUAAACAAAAAGUACAUACACAAAAAUUAAAAAUGAAUCAAACAGCAGAUGAACUAUCAAUCAAAUCAAAUACAAACAAUGUAAUUACUAAUAAAGUAUCUAAUGAAAAUAUAAUUGUUAAUGUAAGUAAUGCUAAUAUUAGUAAUAAUUCAAAAUCAGAUGUACCUAUUAUUGAAAUUCAAGAUAAUGAUUUAUCCAUUUUAAAUCAAUCUGAAAUGAAUGAUAUAUUAUUUGAAACAGAUAAUAACUCAAAUAAAAAUCAAAUAAAAUCUAUUUUACAAAAUAAAAUGUCAUUACAUAUGCAGAAAGAUAAAAUAAAUAUUGAACAAAUUCCAUUUUCUAAUUUAACUUUAAAAGUUCCAAAAUUUAGGCGUUCUUAUUCACAAGGAGAAGCAAUAUCUCCAAAAGAAUCACAAUAUUUACAUCAAGUAUCAUUAUUUGAAUCUUUAGGAAUUGAUUCAGAUAAUAAUAUUAAUAUAUAUUCUUCAAAUUCACUUGAUUUAUUGAAUGAAGGAUUUUUGAAAAGUUAUUCUAAUGAAAGUUCUAUUUCAAAUUUAUCAAAUAUUUCUUCUAUUCCUAAAUUAAAUUCUGUUUCUUCAACAAUCAAUUCAUCAAUAAUGUUAUCAAAUGGAACUAUGAAUCGUACAUUUUUAGAAAGCUGUUCAUCAGAAAAAUCACAAAAUACAAAAUUAAAUGAAAACAUGGAUUUGAAUAAAGAAGUAAAAUCUAUGUUUCCAACAGAAAAGGAUUUAAUGACAUCAGUAGCAAAUAUAUCAAUAAAAACUUCAAUAUCUGAUUUAACAGAUCGAUUUAAUAAAUUGAAAGCAAAAGUAUCAGAAACUCAUAUUGAAAGUUGUAUGAAUAAUAAAGAUGAAUUUACACAUAAUUCUUCCAAUGUAAUGAAAGAAUGUGUCAUAGAAAAAAAUGAAAAAUAUGAUAUAAAUAAUAAAUUAAUAGAUAUUGAUGUAUUUACACCAGACAAUAAUAAAGAAUAUUGUAAAAAUUCCAUUUCAGAUACAUCUUCAGAUUCUGUUUUUCUUGAAGAAAAUAAAAUUAACAAAUCAAUACGUCAAGAAGCAAAACUUCUUGCAAGAACUUUUGAAGAAUUAGCUUUAAAAACCAGUUCAGGCUCAAGUAUGGAUGAUUUCAUUACAAACAAUUCUUUAUGGACAUUAGAGUUAUUACCAGCCUUUGAUGAUGAAACUUCAGUUGAAAAUUUGAUUGAUUUGCCGACGUCUCCUGAGGGAACAGAUACAAAAUCAAAAAAUGUAGAAAUCGCAGAGAAUAAAUGUAAUGAUUCAAAUAAAAGUAAAAAAAAUGAAUUUAUUGAUAAUGUGAAAAUAAAAGAUUUAGAAAUGGAACUUGUUGAACCAAUAUUAGUAGAAAAACGUUUUACUGCAGUAACGCUUUUAUUAGAACUUAAAAAAUUAAUCGAAACAGAAAAUAAUGUAGAAGCAAGUAAAUUAGUAAAAAAUUUGGAGAAAGCUUUAGGUAUUAAUUGUGAGAACAAUACUGAAUUAUUGACUACUUAUCUUAAUGCAACUAAUAAUUUAGCAAAAAGUCCAGAAAAAUCAAGUAACAAUUUGGAUAUGAUAAAAAAUGUAGCAGAACAUAGUAUAGAACACAGUCAAGAAAAUAAUUUGACUGGUAAUUCGAUGGAAAAUAUUAAAGAAUCAGAGUUUUUUGAAAAAAGCUUUAAUGCAAAUAAAUGUAUUGAUAAUCAAAAAUACUUAAAUAAUGUAAAUUGUAAAUCAAAAUGUGAAACUCCAGAAACAGAAAUAUAUAUUGAAAAAAUAAAGAAAGAAAAAGAUGAAAAUGAAAUUAUUUCUCAUAAUAAUGAUUGUUACAAACAAAAAAAUAAUUUAAUAAAUGAAAAGAUGGUAAUUGAACUUCUUGCAAAUAUAGGAAAAUUAUUAUGUGAACAGACUGAUGAACAUCCAACUUUGAAUGUACUUAAAAAUUUAGGAAAAGUAUUAAAUUUUACUUCUAAUAAUUGUAAUAUUGAUAAGAAUACAAAAAGUGACAAUGCUUAUAUAGAAAUUCAACAAACUCCAAAGAAAUCAAAGUUAAAAUUUGAAAAUGAAUCUCGAUCGUUAUAUUUAUCAAAUUCUACUAACAGAUUAAGUUUAAGUUUAGAAUCAAAGAAGAUAUCAAAUAAUAAAAAUUUUAUUAGGAGAAGUGUAUCUGUAUCUCAAACACCGCCAUUUAAAAAUGAAUCUAAUUUAUCAAUGUUUAAUAGCAAAAGUACAUCUCAAUUGAAAGAAAUAACAAAACGAUUUUCUAGUGAUCCUAGUUUUACUAAACCAGAAUCAAAUAAAGAGAUUAUUAUAAAUAAUGAUAAAAACAUACUACAAAAAGAUUUACAGAGAGAAAAAUCUUCUACAAUAAGUACAGUUAGAAAUAAAUUUAAGAAAAAAGUUAAUACUAAUAUCAUAAACAAAAAGGGUCCAAUGAAAGCUAUUCUUCCUAUAGGAAAUAUGCAAAAAAGAGGUAUAAACUAUUAAUAAAAAAUUAACUUCAUCUAUUGGAACUACAACACCACCUCAAUCUCAUAAAAUAAUUAGUAGUACUCCUAAUUCCACAAACAAUGAACUUUUAACCAAAAAAUCACGAUCUGCGAAACCAGUUGCUUCGUCAACUCCAGAUGCUCAAAAUUCUAAAAUACAAAAAACACAAUCACAAAUAAUUAACAGUCCUAAAAAACGUAAUUUUUCUUGUGAUAUUUCACCUGUAACUACACGCAUAAAUAUUAGUAAUUACAAUGGAAUGAGUAAUAAUUUACAAAGAAAUACUAAAUUACCAUCUCCAAAGAAAACAACACCUAAACGCCGAGCAACAGAAUCUGGUAUUCCAAAAAUACAGACUCCACCUAUAAACAAAAGUUUAAAUUCUUCGUUUGAAGUUAAUCAAUAUGAACGUUUAUAUGAAUCUCCGAAACGUUCAACAUAUAAACAAUCAAAUUCACAAAAAAAUUCGCCAAUUUCUUUUAAAAAUAACGGAAAUAAUAUACAACGAAGUCCAUUAAGAGAUAAUAAUAAAAUUGUUCAGAAAGUAAAACCGAUAAAUUUGAUUUCGAAACUUCGACGCUAUAGUAAUUCAAAUAUAAUGGACAAAGAAAACAGUUACGUUUAAUUUAUAAAAAGUUCUGUUAUAAUUAAUACUACUCGUGUUAUUAAACGUUCGUAACAUUGCAAUGUGUGAACUUUUUACAUUUAUGUUUUGCAAUAAAAUAUUUGGAAAAUAAA
Apis florea (little honeybee) is the source of this 3929-nucleotide unclassified non-coding RNA. The record is from RefSeq and is a predicted model, not a curated record. NCBI's taxonomy places the organism in Eukaryota, Metazoa, Arthropoda, Insecta, Hymenoptera, Apidae.